GAUGAACGCUGGCGGCGUGCCUAAUACAUGCGAGUCGAGCGAACAGACGAGGAGCUUGCUCCUCUGACGUUAGCGGCGGACGGGUGAGUAACACGUGGAUAACCUACCUAUAAGACUGGGAUAACUUCGGGAAACCGGAGCUAAUACCGGAUAACAUGUUGAACCGCAUGGUUUAACAGUGAAAGACGGUCUUGCUGUCACUUAUAGAUGGAUCCGCGCCGCAUUAGCUAGUUGGUAAGGUAACGGCUUACCAAGGCAACGAUGCGUAGCCGACCUGAGAGGGUGAUCAGCCACACUGGAACUGAGACACGGUCCAGACUCCUACGGGAGGCAGCAGUAGGGAAUCUUCCGCAAUGGGCGAAAGCCUGACGGAGCAACGCCGCGUGAGUGAAGAAGGUCUUCGGAUCGUAAAACUCUGUUAUUAGGGAAGAACAAAUGUGUAAGUAACUAUGCACGUCUUGACGGUACCUAAUCAGAAAGCCACGGCUAACUACGUG
RNAcentral lists this ribosomal RNA (497 nucleotides) under uncultured bacterium. RNAcentral describes it as "partial 16S ribosomal RNA". It matches the Rfam family "Bacterial small subunit ribosomal RNA", at positions 28 to 507 of the family's 1533-position model. The record is from RNAcentral.